UACGUAGGGCGCGAGCGUUGUCCGGAAUUAUUGGGCGUAAAGAGCUCGUAGGCGGCCUGUUGCGUCCGCUGUGAAAUCCCGGGGCUCAACCCCGGGCUUGCGGUCGAUACGGGCAGGCUCGAGUUCGGUAGGGGAGACUGGAAUUCCUGGUGUAGCGGUGAAAUGCGUAGAGAUCGGGAGGAACAUCAGUUGCGAAGGCGGCUCUCUGGACCAGCACUGACACUGAGGCACGAAAGCGUGGGGAGCAAACAGG
Molecule: ribosomal RNA, 253 nt
Filed under: uncultured bacterium
Lineage: Bacteria
Description: partial 16S ribosomal RNA
Rfam family: Bacterial small subunit ribosomal RNA
Source: RNAcentral